GUUCUCUACUUCCUGAAUUCCUCGAAAUCCCACCUCACUGCCUCUCCUGCAGAGUUAGAACUCCAGGAAAAAGCCAAAAUUUAUUUCAGAACUCUGUUAUAAACAUCCUUAAAGACAGACGCCAGGUGGUGGGUGGGGCCAAGGCCCCGAGGGUGGAAGGGUUUUGGGUGUGUUCAUCGGCUGGAGCAGUGCUCACUGGGAGCUGAAAGGACUUUGAGAGCAGAGCCAUACGGGGUGCUCAGACGUGUCCACCGUGAGCUCGGAAGCUGCAGGACGGGACCCACACAGCCUUCCCCGUGGGCCUCCGGGGAACCCAGUGGCCCCACUCAGGGCCUCCCAGGGCCCCGCCUGUGAAGGAGGAAGCUGCGAGGAGUGCCCAGGGCUGGGAAUCCCUCAGAUACCUUUGUCCGUCCCCCAAGGGGUAAUGAAGCGGGCAUCUGUUCCUGCGCAGGCGUCCUUGGGGACGGGUGUGGAUUCCUUCCUGUGACAGCUGCGGAAGCCACCAGAACACGGUGCAGAGAGCACAAGGCUGGAUUUCCAUCCCAGUGUGGGCCGCACCCUAUGUGGGGGGAGUGUUUGCCCUUCCAUAAACGUAAAAAUUGCUUAAUAUGACUCCAGAGAAGACUAAAUACAUGUUUGCUGGUAGACUCUCUCUUGUUUAUUUUUUCUGUUUUCAGGAGUGGGUGGGACUUCCUCCAGCAACUACUGGUUUCCUGAAAAUCUGGACCAAGCCUGAGACUUUUUGUGUACUUGUAGCUUUGUUUUGAUUUAUGUAUUUAUUGUGAGCUCUCUAGGGGACCUCAAAAAAAAAAAAAAAAAAAAAAA
Molecule: long non-coding RNA, 825 nt
Organism: Piliocolobus tephrosceles (Ugandan red Colobus)
Lineage: Eukaryota; Metazoa; Chordata; Mammalia; Primates; Cercopithecidae
Exons: 2
Source: RefSeq, a predicted model, not a curated record